AUUGAACGCUGGCGGCAUGCCUUACACAUGCAAGUCGAACGGCAGCACGGGAGCAAUCCUGGUGGCGAGUGGCGAACGGGUGAGUAAUAUAUCGGAACGUGCCCGGUCGUGGGGAUAACGUAGCGAAAGCUACGCUAAUACCGCAUACGAUCUACGGAUGAAAGCGGGGGAUCGCAAGACCUCGCGCGAUUGGAGCGGCCGAUAUCAGAUUAGGUAGUUGGUGAGGUAAAGGCUCACCAAGCCGACGAUCUGUAGCUGGUCUGAGAGGACGACCAGCCACACUGGGACUGAGACACGGCCCAGACUCCUACGGGAGGCAGCAGUGGGGAAUUUUGGGACAAUGGGCGCAAGCCUGAUCCAGCAAUGCCGCGUGCAGGAUGAAGGCCUCGG
Molecule: ribosomal RNA, 390 nt
Filed under: uncultured bacterium
Lineage: Bacteria
Description: bacterial SSU rRNA
Rfam family: Bacterial small subunit ribosomal RNA
Source: RNAcentral